GUUCGAGUCCCAAAUAGGACGAAACGCGCGUCAAAC
RNAcentral lists this non-coding RNA (36 nucleotides) under Schistosoma mansoni. The record is from RNAcentral. Lineage: Eukaryota; Metazoa; Platyhelminthes; Trematoda; Strigeidida; Schistosomatidae.